Molecule: ribosomal RNA, 407 nt
Filed under: uncultured bacterium
Lineage: Bacteria
Description: bacterial SSU rRNA
Rfam family: Bacterial small subunit ribosomal RNA
Source: RNAcentral
UGGGGAAUAUUGCACAAUGGGCGAAAGCCUGAUGCAGCAACGCCGCGUGAAGGAUGAAGGGUUUCGGCUCGUAAACUUCUAUCAAUAGGGAAGAAAGAAAUGACGGUACCUAAAUAAGAAGCCCCGGCUAACUACGUGCCAGCAGCCGCGGUAAUACGUAGGGGGCAAGCGUUAUCCGGAAUUACUGGGUGUAAAGGGAGCGUAGGCGGCAUGGUAAGCCAGAUGUGAAAGCCUUGGGCUUAACCCGAGGAUUGCAUUUGGAACUAUCAAGCUAGAGUACAGGAGAGGAAAGCGGAAUUCCUAGUGUAGCGGUGAAAUGCGUAGAUAUUAGGAAGAACACCAGUGGCGAAGGCGGCUUUCUGGACUGAAACUGACGCUGAGGCUCGAAAGCGUGGGGAGCAAACAGG